This 403-nucleotide ribosomal RNA is filed under the name uncultured bacterium. RNAcentral describes it as "partial 16S ribosomal RNA". It matches the Rfam family "Bacterial small subunit ribosomal RNA", at positions 30 to 526 of the family's 1533-position model. The record is from RNAcentral.
AUUGAACGCUGGCGGCAGGCCUAACACAUGCAAGUCGAACGAGUGGCGGACGGGUGAGUAAUGUCUGGGAAAUGCUUGAUGGAGGGGGAAAAUUACUGGAAACGGUAGCUAAUACCGCAUACUAGCGGAUAACCCUGAUGUGAUUAGCUAGUAGGUGAGGUAAUGGCUCACCUAGGAGACGAUCCCUAGCUGGUCUGAGAGGAUGCUCGGCCACACUGGGACUGAGACACGGCCCAGACUCCUACGGAGGCAGCAGUGGGGAAUAUUGCACAAUGGGCGCAAGCCUGAUGCAGCCAUGCCGCGUGUGUGAAGAAGGCCCUAGGGUUGUAAAGUACUUUCAGUCGGGAGCCGUUACCUACAGAAUAAGCACCGGCUAACUCCGUGCCAGCAGCCGCGGUAAUUC